Molecule: ribosomal RNA, 204 nt
Filed under: Triticum aestivum (bread wheat)
Lineage: Eukaryota; Viridiplantae; Streptophyta; Magnoliopsida; Poales; Poaceae
Description: partial small subunit ribosomal RNA
Source: RNAcentral
AUGUCACGUCGAGGUACUGCAGAAAAAAGAACUACAAAAUCCGAUCCAAUUUUUCGUAGUCGAUUAGUUAACAUGGUGGUUGACCGUAUUAUGAAAGACGAAAAAUAUCAUUGGCUUAUCAAAUUCUCUAUCGAGCCGAAAAAGAUUAAAAAAAGACAGAAACAAAUCCACUAUUGGUUUUACAUCAAGCAAUAUGUAGAGUAA